Molecule: ribosomal RNA, 595 nt
Filed under: uncultured Bacteroidota bacterium
Lineage: Bacteria; Pseudomonadati; Bacteroidota
Description: bacterial SSU rRNA
Rfam family: Bacterial small subunit ribosomal RNA
Source: RNAcentral
CAACCUGCCAUCCAGCGGAGGAUAGCCUUUCGAAAGAAAGGAUAAUACUCCAUGACCUCCUCAGAGGACAUCUGACGAGGAGCAAAGAUUCAUCGCUGGGUGAUGGGGAUGCGUCUGAUUAGGCAGUUGGCGGGGUAACGGCCCACCAAACCGACGAUCAGUAGGGGUUCUGAGAGGAAGGUCCCCCACAUUGGAACUGAGACACGGUCCAAACUCCUACGGGAGGCAGCAGUGAGGAAUAUUGGUCAGUGGACGUAAGUCUGAACCAGCCAAGUANCGUGCANGACGAAGGCCCUAUGGGUUGUAAACUGCUUUUAUGCGGGGGUAAAGUGAGUGACGUGUCAUUCAUUGCAAGUACCGCAAGAAUAANGACCGGCUAAUUCCGUGCCAGCAGCCGCGGUAAUACGGAAGGUCCUGGUGUUAUCCGGAUUUAUUGGGUUUAAAGGGAGCGUANGCCGUCAGGCAAGCGUGUUGUGAAAUGUCGUGGCUCAACCAUGGACUUGCAGCGCGAACUGCCCGACUUGAGUGCGCAGAAAGCAGGCGGAAUUUNUGGUGUAGCGGUGAAAUGCUUANAUAUCACGNNNAACUCCGAUUG